RNAcentral lists this ribosomal RNA (399 nucleotides) under uncultured bacterium. Its description in RNAcentral is "bacterial SSU rRNA". It matches the Rfam family "Bacterial small subunit ribosomal RNA", at positions 124 to 524 of the family's 1533-position model. The record is from RNAcentral.
ACCUGCCUUUAUCUGGGGGAUAGCCUUUCGAAAGGAAGAUUAAUACCCCAUAAUAUAUUGAUGGCAUCAUUGAUAUUGAAAACUCCGGUGGAUAGAGAUGGGCACGCGCAAGAUUAGAUAGUUGGUGAGGUAACGGCUCACCAAGUCUGCGAUCUUUAGGGGGCCUGAGAGGGUGAUCCCCCACACUGGUACUGAGACACGGACCAGACUCCUACGGGAGGCAGCAGUGAGGAAUAUUGGACAAUGGGUGAGAGCCUGAUCCAGCCAUCCCGCGUGAAGGACGACGGCCCUAUGGGUUGUAAACUUCUUUUGUAUAGGGAUAAACCUAGAUACGUGUAUCUAGCUGAAGGUACUAUACGAAUAAGCACCGGCUAACUCCGUGCCAGCAGCCGCGGUAAU